This 483-nucleotide ribosomal RNA is filed under the name uncultured bacterium. Its description in RNAcentral is "partial 16S ribosomal RNA". It matches the Rfam family "Bacterial small subunit ribosomal RNA", at positions 28 to 507 of the family's 1533-position model. The record is from RNAcentral.
GACGAACGCUGGCGGCGUGCUUAACACAUGCAAGUCGAACGCUGAAGCUCAGCUUUUGUUGGGUGGAUGAGUGGCGAACGGGUGAGUAACACGUGAGUAACCUGCCUCCUUCUUUGGGAUAACGCCCGGAAACGGGUGCUAAUACUGGAUAUUCACUGGUCUUCGCAUGGGGGUUGGUGGAAAGGGGUUUUCUGGUGGGGGAUGGGCUCGCGGCCUAUCAGCUUGUUGGUGGGGUGAUGGCCUACCAAGGCUUUGACGGGUAGCCGGCCUGAGAGGGUGACCGGUCACAUUGGGACUGAGAUACGGCCCAGACUCCUACGGGGGGCAGCAGUGGGGAAUAUUGCACAAUGGGCGCAAGCCUGAUGCAGCGCCGCCGCGUGAGGGAUGGAGGCCUUCGGGUUGUGAACCUCUUUCGCUCAUGGUCAAGCCGCAACAAUGGUUGUGGUGAGGGUAGUGGGUAAAGAAGCGCCGGCUAACUACGUG